ACCAAAAACAGCCCUAACAAAUAACCAAAUAAACAAACUUACAGAGUAAACCAAAACAUUUAACCUAAUAAAAGUAUUGGCGAAAGAAAAUUAUCUUAGGAGCUAUAGAGACAGUACCGCAAGGGAAAGAUGAAAGAACUAAUUUAAAGUGUAAAUAAGCAAAGAUUAAACCUUGUACCUUUUGCAUAAUGAACUAACUAGUGUAAACCUAACUAAGAGAACUAAGCUAGAAUACCCGAAACCAAACGAGCUACCUAAGAACAACCUUAGGGGUUAACCCGUCUGUGUAGCAAAACAGUGGGAAGAUUUUUAGGUAGAGGUGAAAUGCCUAACGAGCUUGGUGAUAGCUGGUUGCCCAACAAGGAAUAUAAGUUCCACUUUAAGGUUGCCAAAAGAACACCCAAAUCCAAAUGCAAACUUAAAACAUAACCAAAAGAGGUACAGCUCUUAUGGUAAAGGAAACAACCUUUAAUAGUGAGUCAAAACCCCAAGGACAGACCAUAGUUGGCCUAAAAGCAGCCACCAAUUAAGAAAGCGUUCAAGCUCAACACCACUCCUAAACAAAUUCCCCAAACAACAAUGACCUCCUAUUACCUAAAAUUGGGCUAAUCUAUAAAUCAAUAGAUGAAAUAAUGUUAGUAUGAGUAACAAGAACACCAUUCUCCAGGCAUAAACCUAUAACAACUCGGAUAACCAUUGUUAGUUAACAUGCACAUAAAAACACCCUAUAAACCCCACUCACAAUAACAUGUUAAUCCAACACAGGAAUGCCACCAAGGAAAGAUUAAAAAAGAUAAAAGGAACUCGGCAAACUCGAGCCCCGCCUGUUUACCAAAAACAUCACCUCUAGCAUUGCAAGUAUUAGAGGCACUGCCUGCCCAGUGACUAAAGUUCAACGGCCGCGGUAUCCUGACCGUGCAAAGGUAGCAUAAUCACUUGUUCCUUAAUUAGGGACUAGCAUGAAAGGCUAAACGAGGACUCAACUGUCUCUUAUCUUUAAUCAGUGAAAUUGACCUCCCCGUGAAGAGGCGGGGAUAAAAAAAUAAGACGAGAAGACCCUAUGGAGCUUUAAUUUAUAGCCUAAACACUAAAUCAAUAUAACCUAAUGGGACAACACCUAAGUAGGCCUCAGACUAUAAUUUCGGUUGGGGUGACCUCGGAGAACAAAAAAACCUCCGAAAGUCUUUAACCUAGACUAACAAGUCAAAGUAACUUAACUAUCUAAUUGAUCCAAAAUCUUGAUCAACGGACCAAGUUACCCUAGGGAUAACAGCGCAAUCCUAUUUAAGAGUCCAUAUCGACAAUAGGGUUUACGACCUCGAUGUUGGAUCAGGACAUCCUAAUGGUGCAGAAGCUAUUAAUGGUUCGUUUGUUCAACGAUUAAAGUCCUACGUGAUCUGAGUUCAGACCGGAGUAAUCCAGGUCGGUUUCUAUCUAUUUACAAUUUCUCCCAGUACGAAAGGACAAGAGAAAUAAAGCCCCCUUUCCAUAAGCGCUUUCAACAAACUAAUGAAAAAUCUCAAUUUCACAAUGUAAAACAAUUUAACCAAGACAAGGUCAUU
This 1562-nucleotide ribosomal RNA is filed under the name Acomys cahirinus (Egyptian spiny mouse). RNAcentral describes it as "partial 16S ribosomal RNA". It matches the Rfam family "Bacterial large subunit ribosomal RNA". The record is from RNAcentral. Lineage: Eukaryota; Metazoa; Chordata; Mammalia; Rodentia; Muridae.